UAGCUAGUUGGUGGGGUAAGGGCCUACCAAGGCGACGAUCGGUAGCUGGUCUGAGAGGAUGACCAGCCACACUGGAACUGAGACACGGUCCAGACUCCUACGGGAGGCAGCAGUGGGGAAUAUUGGACAAUGGGGGCAACCCUGAUCCAGCAAUGCCGCGUGUGUGAAGAAGGCCUGAGGGUUGUAAAGCACUUUCAGUGGGGAGGAGGGUUGAUAGGUUAAGAGCUAAUUAACUGGACGUUACCCACAGAAGAAGCACCGGCUAACUCCGUGCCAGCAGCCGCGGUAAUACGGAGGGUGCGAGCGUUAAUCGGAAUUACUGGGCGUAAAGGGUGCGUAGGUGGUUGAUUAAGUUAUCUGUGAAAUUCCUGGGCUUAACCUGGGACGGUCAGAUAAUACUGGUUGACUCGAGUAUGGGAGAGGGUAGUGGAAUUUCCGGUGUAGCGGUGAAAUGCGUAGAGAUCGGAAGGAACACCAGUGGCGAAGGCGGCUACCUGGCCUAAUACCGACACUGAGGCACGAAAGCGUGGGGAGCAAACAGGAUUAGAUACCCUGGUAGUCCACGCUGUAAACGAUGUCAACUAGCUGUUGGUUAUAUGAAAAUAAUUAGUGGCGC
Molecule: ribosomal RNA, 616 nt
Filed under: uncultured Legionella sp.
Lineage: Bacteria; Pseudomonadati; Pseudomonadota; Gammaproteobacteria; Legionellales; Legionellaceae
Description: bacterial SSU rRNA
Rfam family: Bacterial small subunit ribosomal RNA
Source: RNAcentral